RNAcentral lists this long non-coding RNA (696 nucleotides) under Trifolium pratense (red clover). RNAcentral's name for it is "long non-coding RNA (TPRA_LNC009571)". The record is from RNAcentral. Lineage: Eukaryota; Viridiplantae; Streptophyta; Magnoliopsida; Fabales; Fabaceae.
GUGGCCACGAUGAGGCAAAAUUACACGCCAUCGUGGCCACGAUGGGUGCGAUGGAUGCGCAGAAAAAGCCCAAACCAGUUGAAAAACUAUAAAUAGAGAGCCUUCCUCCUCCACUAUUAUUCAUUCAGAAAUCACUCAACAAUAGUGAUAUUCAAAAGAGAGUUAGGAGAACUCUAAAGAGGAGGUCAACGAACUCCAAGGCCAAUAAGGUUCCUUUCUUUUCUGUCUUUGUAAUUUAUUUUUCCUAGGUUAGGUGGAGUCGUUGAACUCCCUUACGAAUGCUUGAUUUUGUAUAAUUUGGGUAUAAAUUCAAUUGUUUCUACUUUCAAACUCUUUUAUCGUCUGAUUUUAUAUUUAUUUCAAUACUGAUCGCAUUAGAAUAAAAUCUAAGGAGCUAAUGGAUAUCGGAUAGGAAACGAAGCUAGUUAUCCCGAACGAAGGACGGUGUGCUAAGGUCCAACAUGAGACCAUUAAAUUCAGUAUCCGAGGUCUUAGUAUAGGAUUAAAAGCUUAGUCUAGAACGAUAAAUUCUACAUGAGGCAGAGUUAGGACUAGUUUAGGCACACGUGACAGGUUGUGACACAUUGAGCCUUAAAGGUAAUGAUACCAAAGUUUGUAACGAAUAAGUGGAACCGGCUGGAGCUAUGAUAUUUAAGCAGAGUAGGGCAACCUAAACUAGGCUCUGAACAGUCUGUA